RNAcentral lists this ribosomal RNA (520 nucleotides) under uncultured bacterium. RNAcentral describes it as "bacterial SSU rRNA". It matches the Rfam family "Bacterial small subunit ribosomal RNA", at positions 988 to 1509 of the family's 1533-position model. The record is from RNAcentral.
CCAGAGAACUUUCCAGAGAUGGAUUGGUGCCUUCGGGAACUCUGAGACAGGUGCUGCAUGGCUGUCGUCAGCUCGUGUUGCGAAUGUUGGGUUAAGUCCCGCAACGAGCGCAACCCUUAUCCUUUGUUGCCAGCGGUUAGGCCGGGAACUCAAAGGAGACUGCCAGUGAUAAACUGGAGGAAGGUGGGGAUGACGUCAAGUCAUCAUGGCCCUUACGAGUAGGGCUACACACGUGCUACAAUGGCGCAUACAAAGAGAAGCGACCUCGCGAGAGCAAGCGGACCUCAUAAAGUGCGUCGUAGUCCGGAUUGGAGUCUGCAACUCGACUCCAUGAAGUCGGAAUCGCUAGUAAUCGUGGAUCAGAAUGCCACGGUGAAUACGUUCCCGGGCCUUGUACACACCGCCCGUCACACCAUGGGAGUGGGUUGCAAAAGAAGUAGGUAGCUUAACCUUCGGGAGGGCGCUUACCACUUUGUGAUUCAUGACUGGGGUGAAGUCGUAACAAGGUAAGCGUAGUGCU